CUACCAUAAAGAGUGUGCGAGGGACAGCCCCGUUGACCACACAGCAACCUGCCAAAGGUAAGGUGCUAAAGGCUGAAUGAUGG
Molecule: non-coding RNA, 83 nt
Organism: Phascolarctobacterium sp. CAG:207
Lineage: Bacteria; Bacillati; Bacillota; Negativicutes; Acidaminococcales; Acidaminococcaceae
Source: Rfam